CCUACGGGAGGCAGCAGUGGGGAAUCUUGCACAAUGGAGGAAACUCUGAUGCAGCGAUGCCGCGUGAGUGAAGAAGGCCUUUGGGUUGUAAAGCUCUUUCNUCGGGGAAGAAAAUGACUGUACCCGAAUAANAAGGUCCGGCUAACUUCGUGCCAGCAGCCGCGGUAAUACNAAGGGACCUAGCGGANUUCGGAAUUACUGGGCUUAAAGAGUUCGUANGUGGUUGAAAAAGUUGGUGGNGAAAUCCCNNAGCUUAACUCUGGAACUGCCAUCAAAACUUUUCAGCUAGAGUUUGAUAGAAGAAAGCAAAAUUUCUAGUGGAAAGGUGAAAUUCGUAAAUAUUANAAAGAAUACCAAUUGCGAAGGCAGCUUUCUGGAUCAUUACUGACACUGANGAACGAAAGCAUGGGUAGCGAAAAGGAUUAAAUACCCUCGUANUCCAUGCCGUAAACGAUGUGUGUUAGACGUUGGAAAUUUAUUUUCNNNGGCGCANCGAAAGCGAUAAACACACCG
RNAcentral lists this ribosomal RNA (513 nucleotides) under uncultured bacterium. RNAcentral's name for it is "partial 16S ribosomal RNA". It matches the Rfam family "Bacterial small subunit ribosomal RNA", at positions 338 to 871 of the family's 1533-position model. The record is from RNAcentral.